UACAGAGGAGCCAAGCGUUGUCCGGAUUGACUGGGCGUAAAGCGCACGCAGGCGGGGGUGCGCGUGGGGGGGGAAAUCUGGCCGCUUAACGGCCAGGCGCCAUCCCAUACGGCACGCCUGGAGCCUUGCAGAGGUCGGUGGAAUUGCCGGUGUAGUGGUGAAAUGCGUAGAGAUCGGCAGGAACACCCAGGGGGAAACCAGCCGACUGGGCAAGUGCUGACGCUGAGGUGCGAGAGCGUGGGGAGCGAACCGG
Molecule: ribosomal RNA, 253 nt
Filed under: uncultured bacterium
Lineage: Bacteria
Description: partial 16S ribosomal RNA
Rfam family: Bacterial small subunit ribosomal RNA
Source: RNAcentral